AAGUCCCGUAACGAGCGCAACCCUUGUCCUUAGUUACCAGCACCUCGGGUGGGCACUCUAAGGAGACUGCCGGUGACAAACCGGAGGAAGGUGGGGAUGACGUCAAGUCAUCAUGGCCCUUACGGCCAGGGCUACACACGUGCUACAAUGGUCGGUACAAAGGGUUGCCAAGCCGCGAGGUGGAGCUAAUCCCAUAAAACCGAUCGUAGUCCGGAUCGCAGUCUGCAACUCGACUGCGUGAAGUCGGAAUCGCUAGUAAUCGUGAAUCAGAAUGUCACGGUGAAUAUGUUCCCAAGCCUU
Molecule: ribosomal RNA, 300 nt
Filed under: uncultured bacterium
Lineage: Bacteria
Description: bacterial SSU rRNA
Rfam family: Bacterial small subunit ribosomal RNA
Source: RNAcentral